This 693-nucleotide small RNA is filed under the name Pan troglodytes (chimpanzee). RNAcentral's name for it is "retained intron". Lineage: Eukaryota; Metazoa; Chordata; Mammalia; Primates; Hominidae. The record is from RNAcentral.
GCUUGCUGGGAGACGGGGAGCUGUCAGAGGGCUCCGUAUGGGAGGCCAUGGCCUUCGCCAGCAUCUAUAAGCUGGACAACCUUGUGGCCAUUCUAGACAUCAAUCGCCUGGGCCAGAGUGACCCGGCCCCGCUGCAGCACCAGAUGGACAUCUACCAGAAGCGGUGCGAGGCCUUCGGUUGGCAUGCCAUCAUCGUGGAUGGACACAGCGUGGAGGAGCUGUGCAAGGCCUUUGGCCAGGCCAAGCACCAGCCAACAGCCAUCAUUGCCAAGACCUUCAAGGGCCGAGGGAUCACAGGUCAGUAUGCACAAGCCGCCCUCCCCACCUUCACCCCUGGCCCAGACACUGUGGCUACGUAGCUCUGACCCUCACAUCCAGGGAAACAGCCCUUGCUGCUCACUGAGUGCACCAGGCUCCAGGGAAGGGGAGCGGGAGAUGCUGUGACUCAGUGACCCCUGUGGCUGAGCCAGGAUUUAAACUCAGAUCCGUCUGGCCUCUGCCGGUGGGGGCAUGUACAGGCAGGAGGAGAGGAAGGACUUGGAGGGUCUGUGGGUGAGAGGAAGGUCGUGGAGUGAGGCAGCCCCCGUGCCCCACCCUGGCUGGUGCCUUUCAGAGCUGCAGCUGUGUGUGCUCUGCCAGCUCCGGCCACCUGCUCCAGCUGAAGGGCCAACACAGAGCCAGGCAGGGCCUGGA